Molecule: ribosomal RNA, 425 nt
Filed under: uncultured bacterium
Lineage: Bacteria
Description: bacterial SSU rRNA
Rfam family: Bacterial small subunit ribosomal RNA
Source: RNAcentral
GAAUCUUCCGCAAUGGACGAAAGUCUGACGGAGCAACGCCGCGUGAGCGAUGAAGGCCUUCGGGUCGUAAAGCUCUGUUGUUAGGGAAGAACAAGUAUCGUUCGAAUAGGGCGGUACCUUGACGGUACCUAACCAGAAAGCCACGGCUAACUACGUGCCAGCAGCCGCGGUAAUACGUAGGUGGCAAGCGUUGUCCGGAAUUAUUGGGCGUAAAGCGCGCGCAGGCGGUUCCUUAAGUCUGAUGUGAAAGCCCCCGGCUCAACCGGGGAGGGUCAUUGGAAACUGGGGAACUUGAGUACUGAAGAGGAAAGCGGAAUUCCACGUGUAGCGGUGAAAUGCGUAGAGAUGUGGAGGAACACCAGUGGCGAAGGCGGCUUUCUGGUCAGUAACUGACGCUGAGGCGCGAAAGCGUGGGGAGCAAACAG